Molecule: unclassified non-coding RNA, 391 nt
Filed under: soil metagenome
Description: partial contains 5.8S ribosomal RNA, internal transcribed spacer 2, and large subunit ribosomal RNA
Rfam family: 5.8S ribosomal RNA (bases 1-122)
Source: RNAcentral
GAUGAAGAACGCAGCGAAAUGUGAUACUUGGUGUGAAUUGCAGAAUCCCGUGAACCAUCGAGUCUUUGAACGCAAGUUGCGCCCGAAGCCAUUAGGCCGAGGGCACGCCUGCCUGGGCGUCACACGUCGUUGCCCCCCCAUCUACUCCUUCGGGAUUGCGGGGGGCGGAUGAUGGCCUCCCGUGCGCCUCGCCGCGCGGUUGGCAUAAAUGCCAAGUCCUCGGCGACGCACGCCACGACAAUCGGUGGUUGCGAAACCUCGGUUGCCCGUCGUGUGCGGUCGUCGCGCAUCGAGGGCUCGAAAAAAUUGCCGGGUUCCGGCUCGGCUUUCAACGCGACCCCAGGUCAGGCGGGGUUACCCGCUGAAUUUAAGCAUAUCAAUAAGCGGAGGA